UAGUCCACGCCCUAAACGAUGUUCACUGGAUGUGUGAUAUUAAUUGCGCAUCUGAGCGAAAGCAUUAAGUGAACCACCUGGGGAGUACGUCGGCAACGAUGAAACUCAAAGGAAUUGACGGGGGGUCCGCACAAGCGGUGAAGCAUGUGGUUUAAUUCGAUGAUACGCGAGGAACCUUACCUAGGCUCGAACGCUAUUCGACAUCACCUGAAAGGGUGUUUCUCUUCGGAGUGGAUAGUGAGGUGCUGCAUGGUUGUCGUCAGCUCGUGCCGUGAGGUGUUGGGUUAAGUCCCGCAACGAGCGCAACCCUUAUUCUUAGUUGCCAGCAUGUAAUGAUGGGGACUCUAGGAAGACUGCCGGCGUAAGCCGUGAGGAAGGUGGGGGACGACGGUCAAAUCAUCAUGGCCUUUAUGCCUAGGGGCUACACACGUGCUACAAUGGUGCAUACAGCGGGGUAGCGAAAUCGCGAGGGUGGGAGCUAAUCUUGUAAAGU
Molecule: ribosomal RNA, 493 nt
Filed under: uncultured bacterium
Lineage: Bacteria
Description: bacterial SSU rRNA
Rfam family: Bacterial small subunit ribosomal RNA
Source: RNAcentral